Long non-coding RNA from Strigops habroptila (Kakapo), 103 nucleotides. RefSeq lists it as uncharacterized. NCBI's taxonomy places the organism in Eukaryota, Metazoa, Chordata, Aves, Psittaciformes, Psittacidae. The record is from RefSeq and is a predicted model, not a curated record. The transcript has 3 exons.
AUCAGCUUUCAAGUCAACCAGAUCAGUAACCUCUCACAUAUCAUAAAAAAACAUGAUGUCAGUCUUUUAAAAGUCUAUUCUAACAUCAAAAACAUUAGUUUAC